This 513-nucleotide ribosomal RNA is filed under the name uncultured bacterium. RNAcentral's name for it is "bacterial SSU rRNA". It matches the Rfam family "Bacterial small subunit ribosomal RNA", at positions 28 to 513 of the family's 1533-position model. The record is from RNAcentral.
GACGAACGCUGGCGGCGUGCCUAAUACAUGCAAGUCGAACGCUUCUUUUUCCACCGGAGCUUGCUCCACCGGAAAAGAGGAGUGGCGAACGGGUGAGUAACACGUGGGUAACCUGCCCAUCAGAAGGGGAUAACACUUGGAAACAGGUGCUAAUACCGUAUAACAAUCGAAACCGCAUGGUUUUGAUUUGAAAGGCGCUUUCGGGUGUCGCUGAUGGAUGGACCCGCGGUGCAUUAGCUAGUUGGUGAGGUAACGGCUCACCAAGGCGACGAUGCAUAGCCGACCUGAGAGGGUGAUCGGCCACAUUGGGACUGAGACACGGCCCAAACUCCUACGGGAGGCAGCAGUAGGGAAUCUUCGGCAAUGGACGAAAGUCUGACCGAGCAACGCCGCGUGAGUGAAGAAGGUUUUCGGAUCGUAAAACUCUGUUGUUAGAGAAGAACAAGGAUGAGAGUAACUGUUCAUCCCUUGACGGUAUCUAACCAGAAAGCCACGGCUAACUACGUGCCAGCA